Molecule: non-coding RNA, 104 nt
Organism: Xyrichtys novacula (pearly razorfish)
Lineage: Eukaryota; Metazoa; Chordata; Actinopteri; Labriformes; Labridae
Source: the annotation of a GenBank genome assembly
UCUCAGGUUAUAACCAGGUAAUAACCGGGUUAUAACCAGGUAAUGUCUCAGGUUAUAACUAGGUUAUUACCGGGUUAUAACCAGGUAAUGUCUCAGGUUAUAAC